UACGUAGGGGGCGAGCGUUGUCCGGAUUUAUUGGGCGUAAAGAGCGUGUAGGCGGCCAGGUAGGUCUGCUGUGAAAACUCGAGGCUCAACCUCGAGACGUCGGCGGAAACCAUCUGGCUAGAGUCCGGAAGAGGAGAAUGGAAUUCCUGGUGUAGCGGUGAAAUGCGCAGAUAUCAGGAAGAACACCCGUGGCGAAGGCGGUUCGCUGGGACGGUACUGACGCUGAGACGCGAAAGCGUGGGGAGCGAACAGG
Molecule: ribosomal RNA, 253 nt
Filed under: uncultured bacterium
Lineage: Bacteria
Description: partial 16S ribosomal RNA
Rfam family: Bacterial small subunit ribosomal RNA
Source: RNAcentral